Molecule: ribosomal RNA, 1375 nt
Filed under: Arthrobacter sp. KSI 1206
Lineage: Bacteria; Bacillati; Actinomycetota; Actinomycetes; Micrococcales; Micrococcaceae
Description: 16S ribosomal RNA
Rfam family: Bacterial small subunit ribosomal RNA
Source: RNAcentral
GCUGGCGGCGUGCUUAACACAUGCAAGUCGAACGAUGAAGCCCAGCUUGCUGGGUGGAUUAGUGGCGAACGGGUGAGUAACACGUGAGUAACCUGCCCCUGACUCUGGGAUAAGCCCGCGGAAACUGGGUCUAAUACCGGAUAUGACUUUUGACCGCAUGGUUGAGGGUGGAAAGAUUUAUCGGUUGGGGAUGGACUCGCGGCCUAUCACCUUGUUGGUGAGGUAAUGGCUCACCAAGGCGACGACGGGUAGCCGGCCUGAGAGGGUGACCGGCCACUAUGGGACUGAGACACGGCCCAGACUCCUACGGGAGGCAGCAGUGGGGAAUAUUGCACAAUGGGCGCAAGCCUGAUGCAGCGACGCCGCGUGAGGGAUGACGGCCUUCGGGUUGUAAACCUCUUUCAGUAGGGAAGAAGCGAAAGUGACGGUACCUGCAGAAGAAGCGCCGGCUAACUACGUGCCAGCAGCCGCGGUAAUACGUAGGGCGCAAGCGUUAUCCGGAUUUAUUGGGCGUAAAGAGCUCGUAGGCGGUUUGUCGCGUCUAUCGUGAAAGUCCGAGGCUCAACCUCGGAUCUGCGGUGGGUACGGGCAGACUAGAGUGAUGUAGGGGAGACUGGAAUUCCUGGUGUAGCGGUGAAAUGCGCAGAUAUCAGGAUGAACACCGAUGGCGAAGGCAGGUCUCUGGGCAUUUACUGACGCUGAGGAGCGAAAGCAUGGGGAGCGAACAGGAUUAGAUACCCUGGUAGUCCAUGCCGUAAACGUUGGGCACUAGGUGUGGGGGACAUUCCACGUUUUCCGCGCCGUAGCUAACGCAUUAAGUGCCCCGCCUGGGGAGUACGGCCGCAAGGCCAAACUCAAAGGAAUUGACGGGGGCCCGCACAAGCGGCGGAGCAUGCGGAUUAAUUCGAUGCAACGCGAAGAACCUUACCAAGGCUUGACAUGUUCCAGAUCGCCUCAGAGAUGGGGUUUCCCUUCGGGGCUGGUUCACAGGUGGUGCAUGGUUGUCGUCAGCUCGUGUCGUGAGAUGUUGGGUUAAGUCCCGCAACGAGCGCAACCCUCGUUCCAUGUUGCCAGCGGGUUAUCCCGGGGACUCACGGGAGACUGCCGGGGUCAACUCGGAGGAAGGUGGGGAUGACGUCAAAUCAUCAUCCCCCUUAUCUCUUGGGCUUCACGCAUGCUACAAUGGCCGGUACAAUGGGUUGCGAUACUGUGACGUGGAGCUAAUCCCUAUAAGCCGGUGUCAGUUCGGAUUGGGGUCUGCAACUCGACCCCACGAACUCGGAGUCGCUAGUAAUCGCAGAUCAGCAACGCUGCGGUGAAUACGUUCCCGGGCCUGGCACACACCGCCCGUCAAGUCACGCAAGUUGGUAACACC